ACUCAAGAUGGGUGGCCUAGAUGCAUGAAGCAGUAUUAUCAUCCUCUUUCUCGUUUAAAACCUUCCAUGAUCACAUCCCGCUUCCAGCAAGCAAUGGCCCUGCGCGCCUAGAAGUUCAACUUGCUCCGAGAAAACCUCAUCUGUAGGUGUUUUCCUUUCAAGAAAAAGCUGGCUGGAGAAGCUUCCCAACAAAGACGAGUAAAAAUUGCUCCAAUGCAAUCGCCACGAGAAAUCUGCCCACAGAGGGACGUCUUCCGCCUCCCAUAACACAAUUGAUUUCAGAAAAUCAGAGGGGAUAGAAUAGAGUUCAACAUAUUGGAAGAGGAGGGAAAUUAACCUCAAAUUCGAGUUCCUGUUGCAAAGGAAAAUGGCACGUAGCCGCGAUAUGUACACGCACAUGUACGUAACGUCUGGGGAGCACUAUGUGCCACGAAGUAUGGCUUCUGUGGUUCACAGUCCUCAAAGUCAAACGUACCCAGGUAAUUGUCACUUGAGCUAGCCAUGUAUGCUGGUGCUGGAAGCGCUAGGUUGAUUAAUGUGGGCGCCUUGAUCAUUGGUCGAUCCGGG
RNAcentral lists this small RNA (567 nucleotides) under Histoplasma capsulatum var. duboisii H88. Its description in RNAcentral is "Histoplasma capsulatum H88 hypothetical RNA". The record is from RNAcentral. Lineage: Eukaryota; Fungi; Ascomycota; Eurotiomycetes; Onygenales; Ajellomycetaceae.